CGGGGUGUAGCUCAGUUUGGUAGAGCUCUGGCGUUGGGCGCCGGGAGCGUAGGUUCAAUUCCUGCCACCCCGA
Molecule: transfer RNA, 73 nt
Filed under: Candidatus Saccharimonadota bacterium
Lineage: Bacteria; Candidatus Saccharimonadota
Also listed under: 2 other names
Description: tRNA-Pro
Rfam family: tRNA
About the family: Transfer RNA (tRNA) molecules are approximately 80 nucleotides in length. Their secondary structure includes four short double-helical elements and three loops (D, anti-codon, and T loops).
Source: RNAcentral